ACGGGGGGUGCAAGCGUUGUUCGGAAUCAUUGGGCGUAAAGCGCGUGUAGGCGGCUUGACAAGUCAGAUGUGAAAUCCCUGGGCUUAACCCAGGAAGUGCAUUUGAAACUGUCUAGCUUGAGUAAGGGAGAGGAAAGUGGAAUUCCUGGUGUAGAGGUGAAAUUCGUAGAUAUGAGGAGGAACACCGUUGGCGAAGGCGACUUUCUGGACUUAUACUGACGCUCAGGCGCGAAAGCGUGGGUAGCAAACAG
This 251-nucleotide ribosomal RNA is filed under the name uncultured prokaryote. RNAcentral describes it as "partial 16S rRNA". It matches the Rfam family "Bacterial small subunit ribosomal RNA", at positions 525 to 775 of the family's 1533-position model. The record is from RNAcentral.